This 272-nucleotide long non-coding RNA is filed under the name Elaeis guineensis (African oil palm). RNAcentral describes it as "long non-coding RNA (EGUI_LNC065478)". Lineage: Eukaryota; Viridiplantae; Streptophyta; Magnoliopsida; Arecales; Arecaceae. The record is from RNAcentral.
UGAGGGAGUUUCAUUUUUGGGGCCAUUCUCACCACAAGAGCAAGCAAGGAGACUCGGAAGAUCAAAUGGGUGAGGAGAAGGAGGGUUAUUAGAAGAUGGAAAGGGAUUUUGGCGGAGAGAAAUCAUGAUUUUGAGAAGAACGGUGGAAGCUAGGGCACACUCCAACCGCUUCAAUCAAGGGAGAAAGAUGCGAAAAGCUCCUUUCCCAAGGAGUGAUUUGAGGUGGAGAGGUGAUGGGAGAAUGAUCUUGGGCUAAAUCCUUGGUUUCGGAG